UGGAGAUGGCGACCGGCGCACGGGUGAGUAACACGUAUCCAACCUGCCGAUAACUCGGGGAUAGCCUUUCGAAAGAAAGAUUAAUACCCGAUGGCAUAAUAGAACCGCAUGGUUUGAUUAUUAAAGAAUUUCGGUCAUCGAUGGGGAUGCGUUCCAUUAGGUUGUUGGCGGGGUAACGGCCCACCAAGCCUUCGAUGGAUAGGGGUUCUGAGAGGAAGGUCCCCCACAUUGGAACUGAGACACGGUCCAAGCUCCUACGGGAGGCAGCAUG
Molecule: ribosomal RNA, 271 nt
Filed under: uncultured bacterium
Lineage: Bacteria
Description: partial 16S ribosomal RNA
Rfam family: Bacterial small subunit ribosomal RNA
Source: RNAcentral